GGGGAAUAUUGGACAAUGGGCGCAAGCCUGAUCCAGCCAUGCCGCGUGAGUGAUGAAGGCCUUAGGGUUGUAAAGCUCUUUCACCGGUGAAGAUAAUGACGGUAACCGGAGAAGAAGCCCCGGCUAACUUCGUGCCAGCAGCCGCGGUAAUACGAAGGGGGCUAGCGUUGUUCGGAAUUACUGGGCGUAAAGCGCACGUAGGCGGACAUUUAAGUCAGGGGUGAAAUCCCGGGGCUCAACCUCGGAACUGCCUUUGAUACUGGGUGUCUAGAGUAUGGAAGAGGUAAGUGGAAUUGCGAGUGUAGAGGUGAAAUUCGUAGAUAUUCGCAGGAACACCAGUGGCGAAGGCGGCUUACUGGUCCAUUACUGACGCUGAGGUGCGAAAGCGUGGGGAGCAAAC
Molecule: ribosomal RNA, 400 nt
Filed under: uncultured bacterium
Lineage: Bacteria
Description: bacterial SSU rRNA
Rfam family: Bacterial small subunit ribosomal RNA
Source: RNAcentral